Molecule: ribosomal RNA, 151 nt
Filed under: Streptomyces sp.
Lineage: Bacteria; Bacillati; Actinomycetota; Actinomycetes; Kitasatosporales; Streptomycetaceae
Description: partial 16S ribosomal RNA
Rfam family: Bacterial small subunit ribosomal RNA
Source: RNAcentral
CAAGUCGAACGAUGAAGCCUUUCGGGGUGGAUUAGUGGCGAACGGGUGAGUAACACGUGGGCAAUCUGCCCUUCACUCUGGGACAAGCCCUGGAAACGGGGUCUAAUACCGGAUACGACCUGCCUCCGCAUGGGGGUGGGUGGAAAGCUCC